This 137-nucleotide ribosomal RNA is filed under the name uncultured eukaryote. RNAcentral's name for it is "partial 18S ribosomal RNA". It matches the Rfam family "Eukaryotic small subunit ribosomal RNA", at positions 1299 to 1458 of the family's 1831-position model. The record is from RNAcentral.
UGGUGGAGUGAUUUGUCUGCUUAAUUGCGAUAACGAACGAGACCUUAACCUGCUAAAUAGCCAGGCGAGCUUUGGCUCGUCGCCGGCUUCUUAGAGGGACUAUCGGCUCAAGCCGAUGGAAGUUUGAGGCAAUAACA